Molecule: ribosomal RNA, 422 nt
Filed under: uncultured bacterium
Lineage: Bacteria
Description: bacterial SSU rRNA
Rfam family: Bacterial small subunit ribosomal RNA
Source: RNAcentral
UAAGGAAUAUUGGUCAAUGGACGAGAGUCUGAACCAGCCAUGCCGCGUGAAGGAUGAAGGCGUUCUGCGUUGUAAACUUCUUUUGCGGGGGAAGAAACCUUGAUAUUCUUAUCAAGCCGACGGUACCCCGAGAAUAAGCACCGGCUAACUCCGUGCCAGCAGCCGCGGUAAUACGGAGGGUGCAAGCGUUAUCCGGAUUUACUGGGUUUAAAGGGUGCGUAGGUGGAUUUGUAAGUCAGUGGUGAAAUCUCCGAGCUUAACUCGGAAACUGCCAUUGAUACUAUAAGUCUUGAAUUAUCUGGAGGUAAGCGGAAUAUGUCAUGUAGCGGUGAAAUGCUUAGAUAUUACUUAGAACACCAAUUGCGAAGGCAGGUUACCAUGUCUUAACUGACGCUGAUGGACGAAAGCGUGGGGAGCGAACA